RNAcentral lists this ribosomal RNA (428 nucleotides) under uncultured bacterium. Its description in RNAcentral is "bacterial SSU rRNA". It matches the Rfam family "Bacterial small subunit ribosomal RNA", at positions 29 to 496 of the family's 1533-position model. The record is from RNAcentral.
ACGAACGCUGGCGGCAGGCCUAACACAUGCAAGUCGAACGAGAAAGCACCUUCGGGUGUGAUUAGAGUGGCGCACGGGUGAGUAACGCGUGGGAACCUACCCUAAGGUACGGAAUAACAGUUGGAACGACUGCUAAUACCGUAUGUGCCCUACGGGAAAGAUUUAUCGCCUUAGGAUGGGCCCGCGUCGGAUUAGCUAGUUGGUGAGGUAAAGGCUCACCAAGGCUUCGAUCCGUAGCUGGUCUGAGAGGAUGAUCAGCCACACUGGAACUGAGACACGGUCCAGACUCCUACGGGAGGCAGCAGUGGGGAAUAUUGCGCAAUGGGGGCAACCCUGACGCAGCCAUGCCGCGUGAGUGAAGAAGGUCUUGGAUCGUAAAGCUCUUUCAACGGGGAAGAUGAUGACGGUACCCGUAGAAGAAGCCCCGG